Molecule: long non-coding RNA, 750 nt
Filed under: Homo sapiens (human)
Lineage: Eukaryota; Metazoa; Chordata; Mammalia; Primates; Hominidae
Description: non-protein coding CASC2:23
Source: RNAcentral
GACUGGAGGCGCGCGACGCGGGCGCAAUGGCGGGGACCCGGGGCUUGAUGCUGCUUGGGCCUGGCCCAGUGGCGGGUCCUAGGGACGUGGGUACCUGCAGAGGCCGGCAGAUGGAGAUUCAGAAACAUAAGGACAACAAGAAACUUCCCCAAGGUAUCAUUAUAGUCUUUAGACUUCAGACACACACCACACCUCAAAUAUAUACACAACUGAAAGGAAAAUUAAGGAAGUUUUUCAAAGAACCCUAUUCCGAGUAAGAAGUGUGUUGCAUGAAUUUCUAAGAGCCAGAAAAUGCAUGACACAGGAGAAGAUGUACCCUCAUCUGUUCAGUGAGAGAUGUGCAAAUCAACAUCAACACAGAACUGCUGAAGAAAAAAAAUAUGUGUGUGGAUUAUAUAUAUACAUAUAAGUGUGUGUAUAUAUAUAUAUAUAUAUAUUUACAUAUAUAGUAUGGGCUAUUUCACCUUUGCAAGCUGGGAGCCAUUAAGUAAUGGCUACCACCACUCCCCCACCCCCUUCAGUAAAACACAUCCUGAACAUUGGGCCCAUGUUUUCAAGAAGAAUGUGCCCCACUGCCCCUUGGAAACUCCAUUUCAUUUACUUGGUUCAGUUAGUUAAUGACGGUCCAUUUUGACUCAAAUAUCCAGUUCCCUUUCAUCAAUCAUGUCUUUCUGGACUGUCAGUUUUAGGGCAAGGAUUACAAAGCCCUUCCAUGCAGAUAUCCACAGAGAAAGACCCAGACCCACAUCC